GAGCGGCCUUUGUGCAUUCAAUUUUUGAAUUCCCUUUGCUCAUCCCAAUUACUCAUCCCAAGACACCCAUUACAUUGUUUUCUCAUUAUCAACUUUUCUUUCACUAUUCUUUCAUCUACUGACCUAAGAGCAUUCAUAUCCAGCUCUCUAAAAAUAUAUAUACAUUCCACUAAAAAACAACUCCUAUAUCAAUAUAUAUCCAGUAGAAACAAAUAUUUUUUCUCUCUCCUUUUCAAUUAAAUAAUAUUUUUAUACCUUCAUCAUUACAUUUUUCUCUGUACUUCACUCACAACCACUUUCAAUAUAUAUUAAAAAUUAUAGUGGGUGAACAGUGUCCCCCAAAUAUACAGAUCAGAUGAACAAUAACAUUUUCUCUCUCCUCAACUCACCACUUUUUAUACUCUUUAUAUUUUAAAAACCCCACACACAAAUUUUGAUUCUCAGUAUGUGAAUGCUCUAAAACGCAAAAUUAGUCAGAUCUUGAAGGAUUUUGGAGCUGAAAUCACUUUUAGGGGGCUACAAUCAAAUGAACAAGAGGCUGAGAGGUAUUGGUUUUGUCAUAAUCGAAAGAAGGAUGAAGGGGCAGUGAUGAACUGGGUUUUGAUAGGAGUUUCAAGGGUAAGUUUUUGAGUGUUCUUUUGCUUAUUGGCUCUAAAGAAAUUACGGUAGAGAGAGAGAGGCACGAAAGAGAUACGGCGGCGGCGUUUAGGGUUCCGCCGCAAACACAACGACGGUGGCGACUGUGGUUGACGUCGCAAGCUCCGGUUCCGGCAAGAGAAGAAUUGUCUGAUGCUUUUUCAACAGAAAUCGGUGGUAGUAUCAGGUGAGGUUGAUAAUUUUCCGGCAAUCGUCAAGGUUGAUGAUUUUGAUGAUGUCACGCAUUGCAUCACGUUCUCCUUCUAUCUUUCCCUUUACAUGUGGGUUCUCCUUUCCAUCUUCAUUUGACACACACUUCAAAUCUGGAGGGUGGAGAGAGACAUAGCAGAAUACAGGGCACGACUCAAAACGGACCGUGUAUUGAAUGGCGGUCGUGGAGACAGACCAUGGAUCUAACAACGUAGAACUAUAACUGGCGAGGGAAGAGAAGUUUUAAUCCGAACUCUAACGGCGAUUGCAAGGCAUGCAGUGGUAACAAAUGUGAUUUUGCUGGUUUUAAUUCAUGGCAACGAAGAUGGCUUCAUGCAUAUUAGUGUUCUGUUUCGUUUCUCCGACAAAUAUAAAGGACCAAAUUACUCGAUCCGGUGAACAAACAGAUAUAAAGGACCUAAUGACUUGAUCCGAUGAACAGGUGAUGCUGGCGCCAACUAAACUCAGGGUUCAAUCCGAAUUUGCUGACAACUCAAGUCUAAAAAAUAUGAGGAAAGAGUUGCAGAUUGAGAUGGCUAAACUAUCUGAGACCCAAUAUUAAACAUGGUCAAUUCACUGCUGAUGAAGACAAGAUGAUCUGCAGUUUGUAUGCUAAUUUUGGUAGCAGUUGGAGGAGGGCCCACUGUUGUGGAACUCGCGGAUGAAGUUGCAGAUUGUGAAAAGAAUCCAAUAUUCUAAUACAAUAUCAGUAGAUGGUUCAUUGUUUGGAUGAUCAUGAACGAUUAAUGGUUGAUGAGAAUUUAUAGGUCAGGGUUUUUGCUAAUAUUUUUGCAAUUGGAGAUGUUACCUACGUUCCUAUGUGGUACAUUGAGGUUUCUUACACAUUUUCUUCGGCCAUGUAUUUAACGGGUCAAACGGGUCAGAGUCACUCAAUGCGUAUCUAUAAGGAAUAAGGUCGUCUAAAUGGUUUUAUUCAAGAGUAUUACUAGCAUAAUGUCCAUCUUCUUGAUAGAGAAUGAAGCGGGAAUGCGGGAUUAUUCUAAUGGGCUGAUCAAAAGAGGGCAUAUCUCAUCUGCAUUGGUCGUUUAGUGACAUCAAUAGAAGAAAAUUUUCAUUUAAGGCAGGGAAUGAUGCAUGUUAUCAAAGGUACUGGGCACUUGUCAUAGGUUCUCCAAAGGAAAAAGGAGGGCUUAAUUUGUGUCCCUCUUAUAAAGGUCUUAUCACUAGCCGAUCACGUUAUUGAGGAACAAGUAAUAUCUCGAAGUGAUUUGCGACAAUUAUUCAAGAAAACGUCAUUUUGGGUUUACUCGAUGCAUCCAUGGUUAAAAUUUAGAGAAGUAGCUUGUGUGCCCACUUUUCAAUGCGUAUAAUACUCAGGGUCACAUGUACAUGUAUCUCAAUCAGUUGAUCUUCAUUAUCCUCAUGCACUUGAUUUUUUCAAAGAGGAUUGUAUUCACAUAUAUGUAAGUUUUUUUUAAACCCUUUUUUAAUUAGUAGUUUAUAGAAGUGUCGAGGCUCGGUUAAUUUGGGUUUUGUUUUGCGUCAAAUAAAAAUUAGAUAAUAAAGAGGCCAAUUCUAUCCCAUGCACUUGAUUUUUUUAGACAACGUCCUGCUCACGUAUCUGUAAGGUUUCUUUUAAGACUUCUUUUCUUAAUUAGUAGUUCAUACAAGUGUCGAGUGUUUGAUUUUACAACUUAUUUACUCAAUACUAUCGAUUCGGGCCAUGUUUUCUAUCAAACAUAUAAUUGAGUUAAAACGGGGUCCAAUUCGUAUUUUAAUGCAUGAAUUUGUUAUUUACCCAUGUACGAUUGGUUUUAAUUUUUCAAUAGACUCAAGGAAGUAUUUACCCAUGUUUAAGUAUUACUAAAUCUGUAUAACUCUUUUAUAGAUAACACAUGUAUUAUGUAUUACUUUUUUUAUGAUUUUAAUUAAGAUGUUAAUCAUAAAAUUAUAAUAUAGUUUCUGAUGCUAUAUUAUGCAUUUAAUUAAUGACUGUGAAAGUAUGAACAUAAUUUGUUUGUAUGAUUUCAAGUAUUAACUUGUGACCCCAAGACUCUCGAAUAUUUCACCGAGUGUGGUCACUGCUCUAGGAAGUGAAAUGUCGGGUGUAUUCAAGAUGCCAUACGGGAUGCCACCCCAACUUGAUUUGACGUGCACAAUACUUGAACCCUUUUGUAAGCAUAGAUGUUCACAUUAAGUUAUUUAUUUCAAUAAGAUAAUUCAAUUCAGUGUAAUUUUAUUUACGUUAGCACUUGAAUGUGUCUUUCAUUAAAUGGUUUAUGUCAACACUGUAACACUUCGUGUUUCGAAAGUCAAAGUCAAAGUCAAGAUUGAAGUAAAAGGAAGAAAAGAUUGCUAAUUGCGAUCUGUCACUCCUUGCUCAACUACUGUUUUGACUUCUUUGACUUGUAGAUAAUCUAUUUAUUUUAUUGCAUUAGUUGUAUUAUGUGGAGUACUUAUUAAUAAUCGAGGUUUAAUCGCUAUUUGUCGCAUGCUUUAUCGCUUACCGCAUCGCUAUCACAUUUGCAACUCGAAUUAUGCGUUCUGGAUAUUGUUUUACGUGUGUGUGCUACUUAUUUGUUACUUGUGCAUAUUUAUUAUGUUAUGUUGUGGUAAUUAAUCAAAACGCAAUCGCAACGCUAUCGCAAUCGAUUCGCAAACGCUAAAUGCAAGAUAUUUAGGAUGAUUGUAUGUUAGAUAUAGUAGUUGGGAUUAAUGAGAAACUCUAUCGCAUCGCAAAACCCAACACGCGAAUCGAAACAUCAAAACCCGUCGCGUCGAACACUCGAAUCGAGUGGCUGACCGAUCGAGUGGCCAACCGAUCGAGUCGCCACUCGAUCGAGUUGCCACCUGAUCGGGCUGCCACCCGAUCGACCAGCCACUUUCCCCACUUUCCUUUUUGGGAAACCCUAUAAAUACCCUUAAACUAUCACAUCACUUGAUGUGACAGCCUCUCACUCGACCAGCCCGCUUCAGCCUCUACUUUCUUGAUCUACACGCACUGCUACACCUUUCUCUCUUUUGAAUCUUAACUUUUAACCGUGAAAUCACUAGAUUUGAGGU
This is a long non-coding RNA of Helianthus annuus (common sunflower), 3870 nucleotides long. RefSeq lists it as uncharacterized. The transcript is spliced from 10 exons. Lineage: Eukaryota; Viridiplantae; Streptophyta; Magnoliopsida; Asterales; Asteraceae. The record is from RefSeq and is a predicted model, not a curated record.